Molecule: ribosomal RNA, 617 nt
Filed under: uncultured bacterium
Lineage: Bacteria
Description: bacterial SSU rRNA
Rfam family: Bacterial small subunit ribosomal RNA
Source: RNAcentral
GAUGAACGCUAGCGGGAGGCUUCACACAUGCAAGUCGGACGGUAACGGGCCCCUUCGGGGUGCUGACGAGUGGCGGACGGGUGCGUAACGCGUAUGCAACCUGCCUUAUACAGGGGUAUAGCCCAUGGAAACGUGGAUUAACACCCCAUAGCAUCAACGGAUCGCAUGGUUUGUUGAUUAAAAUUUCGGUGGUAUAAGAUGGGCAUGCGUAGGAUUAGCUAGUAGGUAGUGUAACGGACUACCCAGGCGACGAUCCUUAGGGGUUCUGAGAGGAUUACCCCCCACACUGGGACUGAGACACGGCCCAGACUCCUACGGGAGGCAGCAGUGAGGAGUAUUGGUCAAUGGACGCAAGUCUGAACCAGCCAUCCCGCGUGCAGGAUGACGGCCCUACGGGUUGUAAACUGCUUUUCUACGCCAAGAAACCUGUCAACGUGUUGACAGCUGACGGUAGCGUAGGAAUAAGCAUCGGCUAACUCCGUGCCAGCAGCCGCGGUAAUACGGAGGAUGCAAGCGUUAUCCGGAUUCAUUGGGUUUAAAGGGUGCGCAGGCGGGCUUGUAGGUCAGUGGUGAAAUACUGCCGCUUAACGGUAGAACUGCCAUUGAUACUGCAAGUC